RNAcentral lists this long non-coding RNA (530 nucleotides) under Nicotiana tabacum (common tobacco). RNAcentral describes it as "long non-coding RNA (NTAB_LNC014863)". The record is from RNAcentral. Lineage: Eukaryota; Viridiplantae; Streptophyta; Magnoliopsida; Solanales; Solanaceae.
CCUUCCACUCUAAAAUGCUAGCUCUUUUAUAUACUGCACCACCAACAAGGGCCACAUCACGCAGCACAACCAUGGAAACGAGUGCAGCUUCAUAGCAAAAAACCAAGCAAGUAAGUUUCUGAAAAUGAAGCAUAAUACUUCAUUUUCAUUUGGUUAAUCCACAAAAUAGAUAACAACUAUUCAAGCGACUCAUCUAAAACCUUUUCGCACUCAUCAGAACAUCUGUGGGCUAAACGGGGCCAAGGAGCAGUAGCUUGACACAACAGACCACUGACAUAUCUCUUAAAUCAAACUUCGUUCAACCACCUCAAGCCAGGAAAAUUAUUGUCAUAUAAGCAGUGUCUAAAAGAGCAGUACGCGCUGAUGAUGAUUGCAACAACAGUAGGGGAAAAGGAGACAACGAAACAGUUCAGGAGGAAAAACAAAAAGCUAAAGGACAUGCAUAUAGAUGACCAAAGGUAAUUCCUCGUUGACAUGAACUAUUAGCAGUGGAUAUGACAUUUGACGAAGCAGAAGGAACUAACAUUAGC